AUUGAACGCUGGCGGCAGGCCUAACACAUGCAAGUCGAGCGGAUGAAGGGAGCUUGCUCCUGGAUUCAGCGGCGGACGGGUGAGUAAUGCCUAGGAAUCUGCCUGGUAGUGGGGGAUAACGUCCGGAAACGGGCGCUAAUACCGCAUACGUCCUGAGGGAGAAAGUGGGGGAUCUUCGGACCUCACGCUAUCAGAUGAGCCUAGGUCGGAUUAGCUAGUUGGUGGGGUAAAGGCCUACCAAGGCGACGAUCCGUAACUGGUCUGAGAGGAUGAUCAGUCACACUGGAACUGAGACACGAUCCAGACCCCUACGGGAGGCAGCAGUGGGGAAUAUUGGACAAUGGGCGAAAGCCUGAUCCAGCCAUGCCGCGUGUGUGAAGAAGGUCUUCGGAUUGUAAAGCACUUUAAGUUGGGAGGAAGGGCAGUAAGUUAAUACCUUGCUGUUUUGACGUUACCAACAGAAUAAGCACCGGCUAACUUCGUG
Molecule: ribosomal RNA, 484 nt
Filed under: uncultured bacterium
Lineage: Bacteria
Description: partial 16S ribosomal RNA
Rfam family: Bacterial small subunit ribosomal RNA
Source: RNAcentral